Molecule: long non-coding RNA, 394 nt
Organism: Bubalus bubalis (water buffalo)
Lineage: Eukaryota; Metazoa; Chordata; Mammalia; Artiodactyla; Bovidae
Exons: 3
Source: RefSeq, a predicted model, not a curated record
UUAGAGUUAUUUUCUCCAUUUUUUAAAACUAAAAUCUGUGCUAUUUUGCAUAGUUGGUCAUCUAUGCUAGUGCUUGGGUGCCUUUUUUUUUUUUUUUUUUUUUGAAUAUUGGCUUAAGUCCUGUGGAGGGAGAGGUGCAAAAGGAUCAGAUGACGUGCUUGUUGAGGAGCCCACGGGGUUGUCUGCUCAGCAGUGUUCUGAUCCAUUGGGCAUGCAAACUGUGAUCACUGUUAAUAAUGAGGAGCUUGGAAGUAACUUUGAGGGUGAAGCAAUCCUGAAAUUAUUUCCUCGAUUGAAGAAAUGAACAAAUAUGAUGAAGUUGUUGGGACUCAGGGUCUCACUGUGGAAGAAAGGACAUGCAAAUGAAAAUUUGGGGAACACAGAAAGAACCCUA